Molecule: transfer RNA, 98 nt
Filed under: Curtobacterium citreum
Lineage: Bacteria; Bacillati; Actinomycetota; Actinomycetes; Micrococcales; Microbacteriaceae
Description: tRNA-Ser
Source: RNAcentral
CGCGUCGGCAGUGCGACCGGCUCGGCCGCCGUGCCGUCGACCGCCGCGAGCAGCCGGAGGGCUGCGGCGCGUCCGAGUUCCGCUCCCGGCAGUGCGAC